AACGAACGCUGGCGGCAUGCCUAACACAUGCAAGUCGAACGAAUGCUUCGGCCUUAGUGGCGCACUGGUGCGUAACGCGUUGGAAUCUGCCCUUUGGUUUGCCAUAACAUCUGGAAACGGCUGCUAAUACCGGCUGUUGUCGAAAGUCCAAAGAUUUAUCGCCAGAGGAUGAGCCCGCGUUGGAUUAGUUAGUUGGUGGGGUAAAGGCCUACCAAGCCGACGAUCCAUAGCUGGUCUGAGAGGAUGAUCAGCCACACUGGGACUGAGACACGGGCCAGACUCCUACGGGAGGCAGCAGUGGGGAAUAUUGGACAAUGGGCGCAAGCCUGAUCCAGCAAUGCCGCGUGAGUGAUGAAGGCCCUAGGGUUGUAAAGCUCUUUUACCCGGGAAGAUAAUGACUGUACCGGGAGAAUAAGCCCCGGCUAACUCCGUG
This 433-nucleotide ribosomal RNA is filed under the name uncultured bacterium. RNAcentral describes it as "partial 16S ribosomal RNA". It matches the Rfam family "Bacterial small subunit ribosomal RNA", at positions 29 to 507 of the family's 1533-position model. The record is from RNAcentral.